CCUACGGGAGGCAGCAGUGGGGGAUAUUGCACAAUGGGGGAAACCCUGAUGCAGCGACGCCGCGUGGGUGAAGAAGCGCCUCGGCGCGUAAAGCCCUGUCAGCAGGGAAGAAAAUGACGGUACCUGAAGAAGAAGCCCCGGCUAACGACGUGCCAGCAGCCGCGGUAAUACGUAGGGGGCAAGCGUUAUCCGGAUUUACUGGGUGUAAAGGGGGCGCAGACGGCGAGGCAAGCCAGGAGUGAAAGCCCGGGGCCCAACCCCGGGACUGCUCUUGGAACUGCGUGGCUAGAGUGCAGGAGGGGCAGGCGGAAUUCCUGGUGUAGCGGUGAAAUGCGUAGAUAUCAGGAGGAACACCGGUGGCGAAGGCGGCCUGCUGGACUGCAACUGACGUUGAGGCGCGAAAGCGUGGGGAGCAAACAGGAUUAGAUACCCGAGUAGUC
RNAcentral lists this ribosomal RNA (440 nucleotides) under uncultured bacterium. RNAcentral describes it as "partial 16S ribosomal RNA". It matches the Rfam family "Bacterial small subunit ribosomal RNA", at positions 338 to 795 of the family's 1533-position model. The record is from RNAcentral.